Molecule: ribosomal RNA, 567 nt
Filed under: Triticum aestivum (bread wheat)
Lineage: Eukaryota; Viridiplantae; Streptophyta; Magnoliopsida; Poales; Poaceae
Description: partial small subunit ribosomal RNA
Source: RNAcentral
AUGCCGCCGGACGGACACACCAACCAUCCAUCCAGUCCAGUACAGUCCAUGGCCGCCUCGUCUCCAACCUGCCACCCGCCCCUCUCCUCUCCCAACUCCCCGCUCCCAUGGAUGCCUACCGUUGCCGCUCCCCUCCCAUCCCCGCAGGAGGAGCAGUCAGCCAUUCAAGGCCACCUCCUUCCUUCCUUGUCUCCCCCGCCGCCGCCAUCUUCGACCUUCCUUCCUUCCUUGCCGUGCGCGCGGCCGUCAGGCAUUCUGUCGAACACCUACGGUGCGUACCGGAGUCGGCCAUCCAUCCACUCCUCUUCUUCUCCUCGGAGUAGGACUCCCUCCCGUAAUAAAAGUAUAAAACCAACUGCUCCUCUCCGUCUCCGUGUGUGCUCCAAUCCUGCCCUCCAAUCGAGUGUUCUUUCGUUUUGCUUGCACCAUUCUAACAUCUACUCCAGUUCAGAGGAUACACAACCACAGUAUGCAAGCAAGACUGAAAGAAACAUCUCCCGGUGCUUCGGCUGUUCGCUAACCAGUCAGGAUUUUUCUUCUCCCGGUGCAGUGCGGAAGGUUAGUUAG